AGAGUGAGACUCUGUCUCAAAAAAACAAAACAAAACUUUUUUUUUUUCUUGAGAUACGGAGUCUAGCUCUGUCACCCAGGCUGGAGUGCAGUGGUGCGCUCUCAGCUCACUGCAACCUCUGCCUACCGAGUAGCUGGGAUUACAGGCACCCGCCAUCAUGCCCAGCUAAUUUUUGUAUUUUUAGUAGAGACGGGGUUUCACCAUAUU
Molecule: long non-coding RNA, 207 nt
Filed under: Homo sapiens (human)
Lineage: Eukaryota; Metazoa; Chordata; Mammalia; Primates; Hominidae
Description: non-protein coding lnc-CENPS-CORT-2:1
Source: RNAcentral